CCUACGGGUGGCAGCAGUGAGGAAUAUUGGUCAAUGGACGCGAGUCUGAACCAGCCAAGUCGCGUGAAGGAUGACUGCCCUACGGGUUGUAAACUUCUUUUGUCUGGGAGUAAACCAGGUUACGCAUGUCUGCUUGUAAGUAUCCUAUGAAUAAGCAUCGGCUAACUCCGUGCCAGCAGCCGCGGUAAUACGGAGGAUUCGAGCGUUAUCCGGAUUUAUUGGGUUUAAAGGGUGCGUAGGCGGUUGGUUAAGUCAGUGGUGAAAUGGCGGGGCUCAACCGUAGAAUUGCAUUUGAUACUGGCAGGCUUGAGUACAGUAGAGGUAGGCGGAAUGCGUGGUGUAGCGGUGAAAUGCUUAGAGAUCACGAAGAACUCCGAUUGCGAAGGCAGCUCACCGGGCUGCAACUGACGCUGAGGCACGAAAGUGUGGGUAUCAAACAGGAUUAGAUACCCCAGUAGUC
Molecule: ribosomal RNA, 460 nt
Filed under: uncultured bacterium
Lineage: Bacteria
Description: partial 16S ribosomal RNA
Rfam family: Bacterial small subunit ribosomal RNA
Source: RNAcentral